RNAcentral lists this ribosomal RNA (139 nucleotides) under Escherichia coli. RNAcentral describes it as "partial 16S ribosomal RNA". It matches the Rfam family "Bacterial small subunit ribosomal RNA", at positions 1 to 131 of the family's 1533-position model. RNAcentral also lists the same sequence under 12 other names. Lineage: Bacteria; Pseudomonadati; Pseudomonadota; Gammaproteobacteria; Enterobacterales; Enterobacteriaceae. The record is from RNAcentral.
UUAAAUUGAAGAGUUUGAUCAUGGCUCAGAUUGAACGCUGGCGGCAGGCCUAACACAUGCAAGUCGAACGGUAACAGGAAGCAGCUUGCUGCUUUGCUGACGAGUGGCGGACGGGUGAGUAAUGUCUGGGAAACUGCCU